This 373-nucleotide ribosomal RNA is filed under the name uncultured alga. RNAcentral's name for it is "eukaryotic LSU rRNA". The stretch from base 1 to 105 matches the Rfam family "5.8S ribosomal RNA", at positions 50 to 154 of the family's 154-position model. The record is from RNAcentral.
GAAAUGCGAUACGUAGUGUGAAUUGCAGAAUUCCGUGAACCAUCGAAUUUUUGAACGCAUAUUGCGCUCAAGGCCUCGGCUAAGAGCAUGUCUGCCUCAGCGUCGGGUUCUCCGUCUCAUACCCAAUGUAAUUACACUGGGUUGUGAGGAUCUAUCGCAGUCUCUCGUCUCCGGACUAGAGUCUGCCCAAGUAAUAUGUGGUGCUUCUUAGCGUGGAUGCAAUCAUUUGAUUCGUCCUAACCCAAGCCGCACUCGAGUACUCAUCUAGUAUGUUUCUCGACUUCGACAGCUUGCGCUUUGAUCCUUGACACUUGUGUCAAGACUCGUCACCCAUUUAUUGGAAACCCAACACUUCUCGACCUGAGCUCAGGCA